RNAcentral lists this ribosomal RNA (587 nucleotides) under uncultured bacterium. RNAcentral's name for it is "bacterial SSU rRNA". It matches the Rfam family "Bacterial small subunit ribosomal RNA", at positions 338 to 916 of the family's 1533-position model. The record is from RNAcentral.
CCUACGGGAGGCAGCAGUAGGGAAUCUUCCACAAUGGGCGAAAGCCUGAUGGAGCAACGCCGCGUGAGUGAUGAAGGCCUUCGGGUUGUAAAACUCUGUCAUUCGGGACGAACCGGAGUCUGAGGAAAUGCAGACUCUCUGACGGUACCGGAGGAGGAAGCCCCGGCUAACUACGUGCCAGCAGCCGCGGUAAUACGUAGGGGGCAAGCGUUGUCCGGAUUCACUGGGCGUAAAGCGCGCGCAGGCGGUGAUGUAAGUCUGAGGUGAAAACCCGAAGCUCAACUUCGGGACUGCCUUGGAUACUGCGUCACUUGAGGAUAGGAGAGGCAAGGGGAAUUCCACGUGUAGCGGUGAAAUGCGUAGAGAUGUGGAGGAACACCUGUGGCGAAGGCGCCUUGCUGGCCUAUUUCUGACGCUGAGGCGCGAAAGCGUGGGGAGCAAACAGGAUUAGAUACCCUGGUAGUCCACGCUGUAAACGAUGAGUGCUAGGUGUAGGUGGGCUCAUACCCAUCUGUUGCCGAAGCUAACGCAUUAAGCACUCCGCCUGGGGAGUACGGUCGCGAGACUGAACUCAAAGGAAUUGACGG